CCCUUAAACAAAAACCAUGCAAUUAAGUUUGUGAAAUUUUUGGUAUUAGGGAGCAUUUUAGGUUGAUACUUAAUUAUUCCAAUCAACAUGGCGGAAACUGAAUCAAAACCUUCUUCUUCUUCUUCUUCAUCUUCGAAGAAACCAAUUAGUGCAGAAGAAGAAGAACAAGAUUGGAAAAGGGAACUGCCACGUAAGUACUUGGCUGAUGAGAAUAAUGUUUGGAAUGAUGACGAUUUUAUCCCUAAAGCCUCUUCAGUUGAGCACCGUGAUCAAUUUCGCAAACUAUAUGCCAGAUACUUCCGACAGAUUCUUCAAACUGAUGUAAGUAGUCUUUACAUAUUCUAUUGCUUUAUUUAAUCGGAAUUCUGCUUUGACGGCUUUAGAGAUAAUGGGUUUCGACAUUGACGUCUAUCCUGGUGAUGCUAAGGCAGCCCCAUAUAUACCAUAUUUGGAUUUUGAGCAAGAAGCUGAUAUGCUGAUGGAGCUAGCUAACCACGCUAUAGCGGAUUACAACAAUAAGGAAACCAGUGUUUACAAGUAUAAGGUUGCUUAUCUUGAAAAAGUGAACUUCAUUUUGGCUGAAUGUCGUGAAUUUUUCAUGACUGUUAAAGUUAUUAAUCAGACUCUGCUUACACCACUGGAAACUUUUCAAAUCCAUGCAUAUAAAGGACAACCUGAGGAGAAUGUUGUCCGCCUUUGCAGAAAAAAGAUGAUGAUAUGAGCCUAUGAGGACUAUUUUGCAUUUGGUUUAUCUGCUAAGCUUAAUUGGAGGAAGAAGCAUCACACGGGGCAAAGAAAGAGACAGUUGGAACUAUAACUUUCUAAAUCUUAGAUUAAAGCGGUUAUUAUAUUGACUUCUUUAUUAGUUGUAGAAGUAUUUGAUAAAUUAGCCUAAAAAAUUACUGUAGUAUAUUACCUACACUGUUCUAGUUUUUAUGGAAUGUAUGAUUAUUCACUCA
Molecule: RNA transcript, 959 nt
Organism: Lycium ferocissimum
Lineage: Eukaryota; Viridiplantae; Streptophyta; Magnoliopsida; Solanales; Solanaceae
Exons: 4
Source: RefSeq, a predicted model, not a curated record